CUAUGUGUUGUUGGGUAGGGGAGCGUUCUGUAAGCCUGUGAAGGUGGCCUGUGAGGGUUGCUGGAGGUAUCAGAAGUGCGAAUGCUGACAUAAGUAACGAUAAAGCGGGUGAAAAGCCCGCUCGCCGGAAGACCAAGGGUUCCUGUCCAACGUUAAUCGGGGCAGGGUGAGUCGACCCCUAAGGCGAGGCCGAAAGGCGUAGUCGAUGGGAAACAGGUUAAUAUUCCUGUACUUGGUGUUACUGCGAAGGGGGGACGGAGAAGGCUAUGUUGGCCGGGCGACGGUUGUCCCGGUUUAAGCGUGUAGGCUGGUUUUCCAGGCAAAUCCGGAAAACCAAGGCUGAGGCGUGAUGACGAGGCACUACGGUGCUGAAGCGACAAAUGCCCUGCUUCCAGGAAAAGCCUCUAAGCAUCAGGUAACAUCAAAUCGUACCCCAAACCGACACAGGUGGUCAGGUAGAGAAUACCAAGGCGCUUGAGAGAACUCGGGUGAAGGAACUAGGCAAAAUGGUGCCGUAACUUCGGGAGAAGGCACGCUGAUAUGUAGGUGAAGCGACUUGCUCGUGGAGCUGAAAUCAGUCGAAGAUACCAGCUGGCUGCAACUGUUUAUUAAAAACACAGCACUGUGCAAACACGAAAGUGGACGUAUACGGUGUGACGCCUGCCCGGUGCCGGAAGGUUAAUUGAUGGGGUUAGCGGUAACGCGAAGCUCUUGAUCGAAGCCCCGGUAAACGGCGGCCGUAACUAUAACGGUCCUAAGGUAGCGAAAUUCCUUGUCGGGUAAGUUCCGACCUGCACGAAUGGCGUAAUGAUGGCCAGGCUGUCUCCACCCGAGACUCAGUGAAAUUGAACUCGCUGUGAAGAUGCAGUGUACCCGCGGCAAGACGGAAAGACCCCGUGAACCUUUACUAUAGCUUGACACUGAACAUUGAGCCUUGAUGUGUAGGAUAGGUGGGAGGCUUUGAAGUGUGGACGCCAGUCUGCAUGGAGCCGACCUUGAAAUACCACCCUUUAAUGUUUGAUGUUCUAACGUGGGCCCCUAAUCGGGGUUGCGGACAGUGUCUGGUGGGUAGUUUGACUGGGGCGGUCUCCUCCUAAAGAGUAACGGAGGAGCACGAAGGUUGGCUAAUCCUGGUCGGACAUCAGGAGGUUAGUGCAAUGGCAUAAGCCAGCUUGACUGCGAGCGUGACGGCGCGAGCAGGUGCGAAAGCAGGUCAUAGUGAUCCGGUGGUUCUGAAUGGAAGGGCCAUCGCUCAACGGAUAAAAGGUACUCCGGGGAUAACAGGCUGAUACCGCCCAAGAGUUCAUAUCGACGGCGGUGUUUGGCACCUCGAUGUCGGCUCAUCACAUCCUGGGGCUGAAGUAGGUCCCAAGGGUAUGGCUGUUCGCCAUUUAAAGUGGUACGCGAGCUGGGUUUAGAACGUCGUGAGACAGUUCGGUCCCUAUCUGCCGUGGGCGCUGGAGAACUGAGGGGGGCUGCUCCUAGUACGAGAGGACCGGAGUGGACGCAUCACUGGUGUUCGGGUUGUCAUGCCAAUGGCACUGCCCGGUAGCUAAAUGCGGAAGAGAUAAGUGCUGAAAGCAUCUAAGCACGAAACUUGCCCCGAGAUGAGUUCUCCCUGAGACUUAGAGUCUCCUGAAGGAACGUUGAAGACGACGACGUUGAUAGGCCGGGUGUGUAAGCGCAGCGAUGCGUUGAGCUAACCGGUACUAAUGAACCGUGAGGCUUAACCUUACAACGCCGAAG
This 1746-nucleotide ribosomal RNA is filed under the name Escherichia coli. RNAcentral describes it as "partial 23S ribosomal RNA". It matches the Rfam family "Bacterial large subunit ribosomal RNA", at positions 1214 to 2925 of the family's 2925-position model. Lineage: Bacteria; Pseudomonadati; Pseudomonadota; Gammaproteobacteria; Enterobacterales; Enterobacteriaceae. The record is from RNAcentral.